Molecule: long non-coding RNA, 301 nt
Filed under: Prunus persica (peach)
Lineage: Eukaryota; Viridiplantae; Streptophyta; Magnoliopsida; Rosales; Rosaceae
Description: long non-coding RNA (PPER_LNC000262)
Source: RNAcentral
CUUGAUGUGGCGGAUGACAUCGUUGUCAAAUUGGCGAGGGGGAUGAGUGCCUUGAUCAUGUGGAACUGUAGAAGGGCCCGUUGUGUGUUUGGUAUAAUGGGGAGGUGGCAGAGACCCAAAAGAAAAGGGGGGGCUCCAAUUGAGCCUUGGGAUCAUCAAGCGAGAGCCCAGUGGAGCUAUGAGGCAUGCCGUAUGGCACGGCCUUAAGUUUUUGAUCCACUGGUGGAUUGGGCAGAAGGCCACUUUUUGGUGUUGGCGUAGAGGAACUCGAGAGCAAUGCGGAGGUAGAAGAAGGUUCAGC